UGCGCCUACGGGGGGCAGCAGUGGGGGAUAUUGCACAAUGGGGGGAACCCUGAUGCAGCGACGCCGCGUGGGUGAAGAAGCGCCUCGGCGCGUAAAGCCCUGUCAGCAGGGAAGAAAAUGACGGUACCUGACUAAGAAGCCCCGGCUAACUACGUGCCAGCAGCCGCGGUAAUACGUAGGGGGCAAGCGUUAUCCGGAUUUACUGGGUGUAAAGGGAGCGUAGACGGCGGUGCAAGCCAGAUGUGAAAGCCCGGGGCUCAACCCCGGGACUGCAUUUGGAACUGUGCUGCUAGAGGGUCGGAGAG
This 305-nucleotide ribosomal RNA is filed under the name uncultured bacterium. RNAcentral's name for it is "bacterial SSU rRNA". It matches the Rfam family "Bacterial small subunit ribosomal RNA", at positions 334 to 656 of the family's 1533-position model. The record is from RNAcentral.